This 253-nucleotide ribosomal RNA is filed under the name uncultured bacterium. Its description in RNAcentral is "partial 16S ribosomal RNA". It matches the Rfam family "Bacterial small subunit ribosomal RNA", at positions 524 to 776 of the family's 1533-position model. The record is from RNAcentral.
GACAGAGGUGCCAAGCGUUGGGCGGAAUCACUGGGCUUAAAGCGUGUGUAGGCGGAUCGUUAAGUACCUUGUGAAAUCCCACGGCUCAACCGUGGAACUGCUGGGUAUACUGGCGAUCUUGAGCCACCUAGGGGCAACUGGAACAAGCGGUGGAGCGGUGAAAUGCGUAGAUAUCGCUUGGAACGCCAAUGGUGAAAACAGGUUGCUGGGGGUGUGCUGACGCUGAGACACGAAAGCCAGGGGAGCGAACGGG